CAGCAGCCGCGGGAAUACGUAGGGUGCAAGCGUUAAUCGGAAUUACUGGGCGUAAAGCGUGCGCAGGCGGUUAUAUAAGACAGAUGUGAAAUCCCCGGGCUCAACCUGGGAACUGCAUUUGUGACUGUAUAGCUAGAGUACGGCAGAGGGGGAUGGAAUUCCGCGUGUAGCAGUGAAAUGCGUAGAUAUGCGGAGGAACACCGAUGGCGAAGGCAAUCCCCUGGGCCUGUACUGACGCUCAUGCACGAAAGCGUGGGGAGCAAACAGGAUUAGAUACCCGUGUAGUCCCUGUCUCUUAUAA
RNAcentral lists this ribosomal RNA (301 nucleotides) under uncultured bacterium. RNAcentral describes it as "partial 16S ribosomal RNA". It matches the Rfam family "Bacterial small subunit ribosomal RNA", at positions 509 to 809 of the family's 1533-position model. The record is from RNAcentral.